UACGAAGGGGGCAAGCGUUGUUCGGAAUUACUGGGCGUAAAGGGCGCGCAGGCGGUCCUUCAAGUCAGGCGUGAAAGCCCCGGGCUCAACCUGGGAAUUGCGCUUGAGACUGGGGGACUCGAGGACGGGAGAGGAGAGUGGAAUUCCCAGUGUAGAGGUGAAAUUCGUAGAUAUUGGGAAGAACACCGAUGGCGAAGGCAGCUCUCUGGACCGUUUCUGACGCUGAGGCGCGAAAGCGUGGGGAGCAAACAGG
This 253-nucleotide ribosomal RNA is filed under the name uncultured bacterium. Its description in RNAcentral is "partial 16S ribosomal RNA". It matches the Rfam family "Bacterial small subunit ribosomal RNA", at positions 524 to 776 of the family's 1533-position model. The record is from RNAcentral.